This is a non-coding RNA of Ophiophagus hannah (king cobra), 92 nucleotides long. Lineage: Eukaryota; Metazoa; Chordata; Lepidosauria; Squamata; Elapidae. The record is from Rfam.
UUUCUCUCUCGGAUCUUUUUGCGGUCUGGGCUUGCUGUUCCUCCAAUAAGUAGCCAGGAAGCCCUUACCCCAAAAAGUAUUUGCGAGGGAUC